Molecule: long non-coding RNA, 561 nt
Organism: Camelina sativa (false flax)
Lineage: Eukaryota; Viridiplantae; Streptophyta; Magnoliopsida; Brassicales; Brassicaceae
Source: RefSeq, a predicted model, not a curated record
AGACGAAACUCUGCGUUUUGGUAUUUUGACCCCUCAACCCCAUCGUCACUUAUUGGUCAUUGCCUUUGGGACACUCACCGGUUCUAGAGUGGUUCUGACACGAGCCGCUAUGUUCAGACGAAACUCUGCGUUUUGGUAUUUUGACCCCUCAACCCCAUCGUCACUCAUUGGUCACCCACUCACCGGUUCCAGAGUGGUUCUGACACGAGCCGUUUCUCAUCGGAAUUUUCUUCCACUGAGCUCGUCCCUUUCAUCGUUUCUCGGGUUAAUCGCUCCGUACUCUAGGUUAAAGCUGGAAAGUGGAACCUUUGGAACUGGUUUCUCAAAAUCUUGAAAUGAUUCUGCAACCUUGUAAGACAAUGUGUCAUUGUUUUUUCCCUGUGACUAAAAAACUAGUGUAACUAAUAAUAUAUGAGAGUCUCUUCUUAUGUAAAAAGUUUAAUGUCUAUGUCAAGAGAGACAAAGUUUGGUCAGUUGUACUUUGAAGACAGUGAUUUGACACUGGACAAUGUAACGACAAGAGAGAUCACAUAUAUAAAUGACUUAUAAAUUGUUUAUGUA